RNAcentral lists this long non-coding RNA (699 nucleotides) under Pan troglodytes (chimpanzee). RNAcentral's name for it is "lincRNA". Lineage: Eukaryota; Metazoa; Chordata; Mammalia; Primates; Hominidae. The record is from RNAcentral.
UGAAGACAUGUUGAGACAGGUAUCUCGACCUGCCAAGUAUAAAGCUAAAGCUGAGUUCAUAAAAAGGGAUGAUUUGGCCGACGGUCAUCUGCCAGAUUCUGAUGAUUAUUCAGAACUCAGUGUGGAAGAAGAUCAGAGGGAGAGGCAGGCGCUCUUUGACUUAUCAAGCUGCUCCCUGAGGCCCAAAAGCUUCAAGUGUCAGACUUGUAAAAAGUCAUAUAUAGGGAAGUGGGGACUGGCCCAGCAUUUUAAACUUAAUCCAGGCCAUGGCCAGCUGGACCCUGAGAUGGUGCUAUCUGAGAAAGCCAAUGGGAGCAACCUCCGGGGGUGCACAGAGGAAAGGACGCUCAGCCUAACCUUCCCGGGGCUGUCCAUGCCAGCAGCUCCGCGUGAGGGAGGGGCCCGCUCCUGCUUGGUGAGAGAGUCAGCACGCGGUGGCCUGCAGGUGAACUGUCACCCCUACAACUCAGCUUGCAACCAGCCCUGGCCACCACCAGUUUCCCCACACUGAGCUGAAUAUUGGACAUGCCCAUCUUAGGCAUUCCAGCCCAUUCUGAAAUUCCACAUCGAUUCACCCGACAAAGUCUGAAGUUCCAGGGCAAUUUAUCUGGAAAAGCUCACCUGGAAUCACGUGUCAUUUCAACCAACAACUGUUGAAGAGGACGUGGCAUUAAAACCAAGGGUAUCAAUUAUUUAUAA